CCUACGGGAGGCAGCAGUGGGGAAUCUUGCGCAAUGGGCGAAAGCCUGACGCAGCAACGCCGCGUGCGGGAAGAAGGCCCUAGGGUUGUAAACCGCCUUCAGUAGGAACGAAAAUGACGGUACCUGCAGAAGAAGGUGCGGCCAACUACGUGCCAGCAGCCGCGGUGACACGUAGGCACCAAGCGUUGUCCGGAUUUAUUGGGCGUAAAGAGCUCGUAGGCGGUUCAGUAAGUCGGGUGUGAAAACUCUGGGCUUAACCCAGAGCCGCCACUCGAUACUGCUGUGACUUGAGUUCGGUAGGGGAGCAGGGAAUUCCUAGUGUAGCGGUGAAAUGCGCAGAUAUUAGGAGGAACACCGGUGGCGAAGGCGCUGCUCUGGGCCGAUACUGACGCUGAGGAGCGAAAGCGUGGGUAGCAAACAGGAUUAGAUACCCUGGUAGUCCACGCCGUAAACGUUGGGCACUAGGUGUGGGUUCCAACCAACGGAAUCCGCGCCGUCGCUAACGCAUUAAGUGCCCCGCCUGGGGAGUACGGCGGCAACGCUAAAACUCAAAGGAAUUGACGG
RNAcentral lists this ribosomal RNA (564 nucleotides) under uncultured bacterium. Its description in RNAcentral is "bacterial SSU rRNA". It matches the Rfam family "Bacterial small subunit ribosomal RNA", at positions 338 to 916 of the family's 1533-position model. The record is from RNAcentral.